UUAACUCAAAUUUGUAAGCAGUCGAAACAGCGCCCCUAGCGGCAAACGUAGGCAAACGUCCCAACUCCAUACAAAUUUCAGUUA
RNAcentral lists this microRNA precursor (84 nucleotides) under Bombyx mori (domestic silkworm). RNAcentral's name for it is "mir-2807 microRNA precursor family". It matches the Rfam family "mir-2807 microRNA precursor family". Lineage: Eukaryota; Metazoa; Arthropoda; Insecta; Lepidoptera; Bombycidae. The record is from Rfam by way of RNAcentral.